Molecule: long non-coding RNA, 778 nt
Filed under: Salvia miltiorrhiza (redroot sage)
Lineage: Eukaryota; Viridiplantae; Streptophyta; Magnoliopsida; Lamiales; Lamiaceae
Description: long non-coding RNA (SMIL_LNC010792)
Source: RNAcentral
UGUGGUUCACUCUCAGUCUGAUGCAGCUCGAGCUAUGUCGGCUGUGGCUGGAGGUGUAAUGUCUCAUUCUCCUCCUGACACUGUUCGGCCUAAGAAAAAAUGGGGAGACAUGUUGGACGAUGAAGACUCUUUGGAUGGAGACGUUUGUUUUUUCUCAGGUCCUCUGUGAUCCGGUCCUUUGUUGCGUGUGCUCUCAUGGUUUUUUGAUCCUUUUUUUCUUUUUUCUUUUCUGCAGUUAGGGGUUUUUGUUUCUUUUUGAGCUCUCUUUCCUGAGGCUCACACAUUUGUCUGCGCCUGUGCUUUCAAGGGUUUUCUGCUUUUCUUUUUUUCAAUAAACUUUCCAUUUCAGCAAUAAGGCUUAUAAUUAAAUAAAUAUUUGUAUCCAAUAAAAUAUAUUUUGAAGAAUUUACAUAUAAUAUAAGCCCUAUUUAUUAUAUAUAUAAUACUCCCUCCGUCCCAAUAAUAAAGACACACUUUCCUUAUUGGGUUGUCCCAAUAAUAAAGACACCAUUCUAAAAAAGGAAACAAUUAAGCAAAAUUAAACUGAACUAAGGGAAACCCUAAUCUAAAUCACUAGUCUCUCACACGGUACGCCUCCGUUCCUCUCUCUCUCUUUCAGCUGCCAUCGGCUUCCGGCCAUCCUCGGAUCGCAGCAACCAUGGCUUCUCCAGUCAUUUCCACACCGCCAUCACCGCCACUCCUAUCACCUCCGCUCUCUCAUCCGACUUGUCGCCUCCCGAAUUGAGAAGCUCCAGGAGGGGCUCUGCCUCCUCGAGGA